RNAcentral lists this long non-coding RNA (3977 nucleotides) under Gossypium barbadense (sea-island cotton). Its description in RNAcentral is "long non-coding RNA (GBAR_LNC013326)". The record is from RNAcentral. Lineage: Eukaryota; Viridiplantae; Streptophyta; Magnoliopsida; Malvales; Malvaceae.
UUAUUGAUGUGAAUAUGAUUUGAAUGUUCAUUAUAUGAAAAUUGAUGAAACAUUGAUAUAUUUGAUAAAAAGGGGAAGAAAUCUCGGUUGAAUGGAAGAAAAUUCGAUGGAUCUCUAAAAAGAAAUUGAUAGUAAAAAGGAUCUAUCCCAGAUGGGUGAUCCUAUCUUGAUAUAGCCCUCCCGAAGAAUAUGUGUGAAAAAGAUCUAGCACGGAUGGGUGAUCUUGAUAUAGCCCUCCCGAAAAAUAUGUGAAAAAUAGAUUUAGCCCGGACGGGUAAUCCAAAUUAGGGUCUAAAUUUAGCUUGGAUUGGUAAUUCAAAUCCAAGCUCAUUAGAGUAAUUGUCAUUACAGGGGAUUUAGCCUGAACUGAUAAUCCAGACAAUACUCUAUGAGUUUAUAUUAAAGGAGAUUUAGCCUAAACUGGUAAUCCCACUGUAAGAAAUGACGUUCGCGGGAGUGUACUCUCUUGGAAAAUGUGCGCACAUGAAUAUGAAUUGACGGACCCGAAUUAGUACACUAAAGUGUCCCCCUGAAAAUCCAUCAAAAUUUCGAAAAAUUCAACGGGAUAAAAAUAGAAAAAUGAUAAGUACUUAAAAUCAUGAAAUUAAACUUGAAAUACAUAGAAAUGAUAAUUAUUUGAUAUACUAAAAUAUGACAUGGAAAAUACAUGUAUGUGAAACUUGUCUGAUAAUUAUGCAUAUUCAAGAUUAUGAACUGCUACUGGAAUAAAUAUACAUUGAAAUCUAAAAAAAAUUAUGGUACAUGAAAUAUUGUCAUAAUGAAUUGAAUAAUUUAUAUUUAAAAAGAAACAACAAGAAAAUGAUAUGUAUAAUGACAUGUAAAUAUGAGACUAUCUUUGAUACGUUGAUACUAAGAAAAAUUAUGUGUAUUAAGACGAGUAAUAAAUUUAAGUGAGACAUGGCGAGAAAAUAAGUUUGUCAAUAUUAAAGUACGCUAACCAAUGUUGUUGCUUGAAUUUUAGGCAAGUGCCAAAUUACUAUUGAAUGAUAAUAUGUUUAAUUAUAAGGUGCUUUGGAAUGGUAAGUGCUUAGAUAAAAAUAUAAUUGAGCUUAUGAAAGAGUGGAAAGGUUUCAGUUAUGCAAUUUCUUAUGAAAAAAUUUGUUAUAUGAUACGCCCCGUAUGAACCCUGCACCUAAUUUGAAAAUAAAAAAAAAAUUAAAAUCUAUAUAUAUAUUUAGGAUUUUGCGAAAAAUUUCCUAUGAUUCCGAUUUAAUCUCAGUAGGUUCCUAAUAAAUGUUUUGGGCUUCGAGAGCCCAAUAGAGGGACGUUAUGAUUAUUUUCAGAAUAUGAAUAAUAAAUGGUUCAAAAUUAUUGAAAAUGUUUAGUAAACUCCGGUAAUGCUUCGUGCCCUAUUUCGACAACGGAUAUGGGUAGGGGGUGUUACACUUCUUCCCAUUUCGGUAAAAGCAUUUCCACCAAGAUUGCAAUCAUCGGAUGCAACAAAGUCGGGUGAAAACAAUUGCAAACCAUGAUUGUGCGUAUUAAAUGCAUCCCGCAACAUACCUUCCAUGUCAUCUUUUCUAACAGACUGAUGGUAAUCACUAUGAGGAUAAGCCAGAUUAAUCGUCGAAGAGAUUCUACUGGUGUGCACUCUCCAUGGAAAAUCCAUUUUUUAUACCCCCGAAUAAACCCAUCAACAAUUAGAUGUUCGUAGACAACUUUACGAAAAUGCCAAUUGAUGUUGCCACACUUUUUACACAGGCAAAGAAUCAUAUUCUCUUGGCUUGCAUUUUGAAAUGCAAAAUUUAGAAAAGUUUGUAGUCCAUUUCGUAGUUCUUGAAGUCUAAAGUUGACAAUAAAUUACACGGGUAAGUUGUUUAUUUAUAAGUAUAAUUAAGUUAUGUAAGUUAUGAUAUGAUAUAUAUUUAUGUAUUAUGUAAGUUAUGAUAUGAUAUAUAUAAGUUAUGUAAGUUAUGAUAUGAUAUAUAUAAGUUAUGUAAGUUAUGAUAUGAUAUAUAUAACUUAUGUAAGUUAUGAUAUGAUAUAUAUAUAUAAGUUAUUAUGUAUGUAUGUGAGUUAUGUAAAUUAUGAUAUGAUAUAUAUAAGUUAUUAAGUUAAGAUCCCAAGUUUUUUUUCAAUUCUUUAAAGUUAAGUAAAUUAUGUAAGUUAUGUAAGUUUUGAUAUGAUAUAUAUUUAUGUAAGUUAUGUAAAUUAUGCAAGUUAUGUAAGUUAUGAUAUAUAUUUUAUAAGUUUUAAAAACAUUUAAAAAUAUUAAAUAUUAAAAUCAAACAUUUUUAAUAUCAAAAAAAUAGUAAUUUGAUUUUUAUAUUAAAAUAAAUUUAAAUAAUGAUCAAAAUUAUCAUAUUGAUAAAAAAUAUUUAUAAGUUUUAAAAAAAUUUAAAAAUAUUAAAUAUUAAAAUCAAAUAUUAAGUUUUGAUAUGAUAUAUAUUUAUGUAAGUUAUGUAAAUUAUAUAAUAUUUUAAAAUAGAAACUUUAAAAUAUUAUUUUAAGCGGAUAUUAUUUAUUUUAAUUUUAAAGACAAAAUCGUAAAUGAAUCUCUUUUUUUUUUUUAAAAAAAAAACUCUAAUAAACCUGGAAGUUAUAUAUAACGAAAGCUGUCAUGAGUGUGAAAGGGGAAACUAUAAGAUUCAAAGUUGUAAAUUUUAGAAACAAAAAAAAAAAAAAGUUAGGCAAAUGUUCAAUAAUGAUUUAUGAAUGAAAUAUUCAGAUUAUUAGUUUGAAUUGAUUGAUUUAAUUAGUGAAAUAAGGUGAUUCUAGAAUUAAUAAUAUCAUUUUCAUUAUUAUGAUUGGUGGUCUGCAAAUUAUUCACUCUGACAAUUAAAUUAUUUUGACAAAACUUACUAUUUUCCUCUAAAUCAUGUAUAUUCAUGAAUCUUGAUUUUGAUCCCAGUGGGGGAAAAUUUUCAUUUUAUGGCUAUGAAUUUGGAAGAGUUGAAGUUCAUCUUCAUCAAAGAGAUGACAAAGCUAUUACCUUGUCAUAUAGGAAGGUAGAGCAAUUUACCGUGAAGAAAUUUGUCAAAAUUUAACUCAAGUUAAUGGCUUAACAAUUGAAGUAAUGAAUGAUACAGAAGCAGAGACAAAUGAUGCAGAGGCAGAGACAAAUUUCAUGAUUGAAGUAGAAUGCUCAAGUUAGGUUUACGGAUUCAAAAAUUACACUAUCACAUUCAACUAUAGAACCAAAAGGGGGAAAGGGAAGAAAAACAAAAAGGCAGAAAAUAAGGAAUGAGAAAUUGAACCAAAAGGCAUAAGAUAUAGAAAUAGAAGGAAUACAAUAAGAGAUUCCAGCAAAAGAGAAAAACAGAUUUGCAAAGAACUAUUUGUUAUUAUAACGCAGGAAUGCUCAAAGCAAAUAUGGAGAAAAACGUUGAUUGAUUAAGAUAUAUAUAUAUAUAUCUUAAACAUUCAGCAUUAAAAGAAAAGAAGAUAUUGGUGAUUAUGUAUACAAAAAUUUCGGGGGGGUGGGGGGGGAGAAGAAGAAAAGAGAGCUUACCGAGCUCGAAAACUUGAAGAAUGGGAGGGAAACACUAAUAAGGGAUUUUGUUACGGAAAAUCCUAAUUUGUGAGAUUGAAAGAGAAGCUUUUAAUUUCGCACGAGCUUUAGAAUCGGGGUUGUGCCCUACAGAUAGCAAUAGAAGCAAUGAAGAAAUUAAAGAGAAAGAAAAAACAAAGCAAGCAUUAAAGAAAGAAAAAAUCAAAGAGAAAAAGGAACAGCCAUAUACCCAGUCAACGGAGAAAUUAGGUAAGGUGAUGAGAUUUUUACCAGUCAGCCCAAACGAGAAGCGAUCUUGCAGCGAGCAGAAGGCCGGAAAACAACGUUGAAGGGGUGAAAGAUCUAGGGAUUUGCAGGAGAGGAGAAAGACGGAAGGAGAGUCGGGGGCUGAGAUUUAGACUUAGAACAACAGACCACAAAAAAAAAAAAGAUGCCAUUUAAGUCAAACUGAUAUUGCAAUAUUUGCUGCGCUUAUAAAAAAACGUGACUAAUUGUAUAACUUUUG